Molecule: long non-coding RNA, 1983 nt
Filed under: Homo sapiens (human)
Lineage: Eukaryota; Metazoa; Chordata; Mammalia; Primates; Hominidae
Description: HSALNT0381933
Source: RNAcentral
UGAGAUCAUGCUUCAUAAAACACCUGGUUCUUUGUGUAUCUGUCACACAAGGGAUAACCAAUAUGACUAUUUGGUUACAUUUGGCUUUUGUUGCUUAGUUUAUUCUUACAUAGAUGGGCAGCUGGAUGUUAGGGAAAAACAGGGACAGGAAAGAGACUCCAUCCAGUGGCUCUCUGAAGAUUCACCCUUGUUAUCAGUCACUUGGGAUUCUGUUAUCAGAAUUUGGGAUUGCUUGUUAUCACAGCAUUACCUAGUCUACCCUGACUAAUACAAGGGCACUUUGAGAAUCUGAUGGAAGCUCAGGCCACAAGAAAACUGCACAUUCAUGCAAAAUUCAGAACCUUUCAAUUUUAAUGUCUUGAGAUUUCGUUGUGUUUCUAAGAUCCUUGAUGUCCCACAGCCUCCUCUUCUCAGCCUUGGAAUCUGAGGCACCUGGGUUGUAAGUGAUGCUAUGUCAGUGUUCACAAAGGCUCACAAGUCUGCGAAGUGGCCAAGAUGAGCUGACCCUGUCACCAUGGAGCAAGGCCUAUGUGUGCAAAUGAGUCAUGAGCUGAGAGGAAAGAGCUUGAGCCUGAGCUUUUUUUUUUCUUUUCUUUUCUUUUCUUUUUAUGAUGAUUGCUUGAGCCUGAGCUUGUUUGCCAGAUGCUUUCACUAGCCCAAGCUUGUUUUGUGGAUGCUUUCUGCUGCCAGCUACUUUGUAGUCCCUCCUGUGUGACAGCAUCUUGCCAUCAACGGGCUGCAGAAGAAGGGGUGCUUGUUGCUAUUGUGAGCAAACACUGCAUAAACAAUCAGCUCACAUGUGUGUCCCAGAGCGUAUGACCAAUGACCUGGAGAACUCUCAGGCUGUGGGGUGGAGAGAAGGCCAUUCUGAGGUCAACUGAAACCUCACUUGAGGGGCAGUUCCGUAGAUGGGAAUGAGGAGAGAGUCAUGGCCACAGCCACCUGGCCAAGGAGAGAGGCCAUAACUGCCAGACAGAACCAAGGAUGGAGGGACUUCAGCAGCACGAACAAUCCACACUCAGCAUGGGUCACUCUCUGGGACACACAUUUCCCUCUGGCUGAAAGGCUGAGCUGCUCCAGGGCCAACUGUGAGGUCAGACAGCUGCCCAGGGAUGUCUCCAGCCACUCAAGGGAAGAAGAGACCACUCACCUGUAAUUUCAACAGCAACAAAAGACCUGAGGUUCCACCAUCAGAACUUCACGCCCUAAGGAAGAUGCAGCAUUUCCUGUAAAAUGCAAGUGCUCCCAGGCAGAGGUAGCUCCCGAAGCCAUGAUCAAGCCAGAAUUGAUUUCGUGGCUUUCUUUCUCCUCUUCUGGGAUUUUGUGCCCUAUUGCCACAGAAACCCUGGGCCCCUUCCCCAGCUGUCAUGAAGGUGCCUGAGUGAUGGUCAGAGAGAUGACCGGAGGGGCCCACCCGGCCACCGCAGCAGCAGCAGCCAAGGCGGGACUAAGCCUCCACACCCCACAUCUCAGUCGUGGCCAGCCCGGGAUGCCUGCCUCUCCUGCCCUGUGGUGUUGCUGUCCUCAUAUGACCCUUCAGUCCCCCGACAUCUGGACAGGCUUUAGGGACCUGCUUGAGCAGAACAUGGUAGAAGUGAUGGACUGGGGCUUCUGAGGCUAAGCCAUAAGAAGCCUUGAGAAUUUCACCUGGCCCUCACUGUCUCUGGGAGCCCUGAGCCAUGAUAGAAGAAGUCCUUCCUAUAUUGAAUGUCCUUGAGACCUCCAGUACUGGAAAGGGCAUUUGUAGAUGCUCAGACCAACAGUCCAAACUGAGCCCAGUCUGCCAACUUGCCCUGCCAAGGUGUCAGAUGCAUAUGUGAAUGAGACCAUCCUAGACCUGCUGAUAGCCCAUCACCCGGCUGACUGCUACUGAGUAACCUCUGCCAACUUCACGCCGAACACAGAACUGCUGAUUUGAACUCUGCCUGAAUUUCUUGGCCCACAGAACAAUGAGAUAUAAUUAAAAGGCAAUGGUUCAAGCCA